This 497-nucleotide ribosomal RNA is filed under the name uncultured bacterium. Its description in RNAcentral is "partial 16S ribosomal RNA". It matches the Rfam family "Bacterial small subunit ribosomal RNA", at positions 28 to 507 of the family's 1533-position model. The record is from RNAcentral.
GAUGAACGCUGGCGGCGUGCCUAAUACAUGCAAGUCGAGCGAACAGACGAGGAGCUUGCUCCUCUGAUGUUAGCGGCGGACGGGUGAGUAACACGUGGAUAACCUACCUAUAAGACUGGGAUAACUUCGGGAAACCGGAGCUAAUACCGGAUAAUAUAUUGAACCGCAUGGUUCAAUAGUGAAAGACGGUCUUGCUGUCACUUAUAGAUGGAUCCGCGCCGCAUUAGCUAGUUGGUAAGGUAACGGCUUACCAAGGCAACGAUGCGUAGCCGACCUGAGAGGGUGAUCGGCCACACUGGAACUGAGACACGGUCCAGACUCCUACGGGAGGCAGCAGUAGGGAAUCUUCCGCAAUGGGCGAAAGCCUGACGGAGCAACGCCGCGUGAGUGAUGAAGGUCUUCGGAUCGUAAAACUCUGUUAUUAGGGAAGAACAAAUGUGUAAGUAACUAUGCACGUCUUGACGGUACCUAAUCAGAAAGCCACGGAUAACUACGUG